Molecule: ribosomal RNA, 492 nt
Filed under: uncultured bacterium
Lineage: Bacteria
Description: partial 16S ribosomal RNA
Rfam family: Bacterial small subunit ribosomal RNA
Source: RNAcentral
AGUGAACGCUGGCGGUAGGCCUAACACAUGCAAGUCGAACGGCAGCACAGUAAGAGCUUGCUCUUACGGGUGGCGAGUGGCGGACGGGUGAGGAAUACAUCGGAAUCUACUUUUUCGUGGGGGAUAACGUAGGGAAACUUACGCUAAUACCGCAUACGACCUACGGGUGAAAGCAGGGGAUCUUCGGACCUUGCGCGAUUGAAUGAGCCGAUGUCGGACUAGCUAGUUGGCGGGGUAAAGGCCCACCAAGGCGACGAUCCGUAGCUGGUCUGAGAGGAUGAUCAGCCACACUGGGACUGAGACACGGUCCAGACUCCUACGGGAGGCAGCAGUGGGGAAUAUUGGACAAUGGGCGCAAGCCUGAUCCAGCCAUACCGCGUGGGUGAAGAAGGCCUUCGGGUUGUAAAGCCCUUUUGUUGGGAAAGAAAAGCAGCAGGUUAAUACCCCGCUGUUCUGACGGUACCCAAAGAAUAAGCACCGGCUAACUUCGUG